GACGAACGCUGGCGGCGUGCUUAACACAUGCAAGUCGAACGGAAAGGCCCCUUUGGGGGUACUCGAGUGGCGAACGGUUGAGUAACACGUGAGUAACCUGCCCUUGACUUCGGGAUAACUUCAGGAAACUGGGGCUAAUACCGGAUAGGAAUCCUUGCUGCAUGGUGGGGGUUGGAAAGCUUCGGCGGUUUUGGAUGGACUCGCGGCUUAUCAGCUUGUUGGUGGGGUAGUGGCUUACCAAGGCUUUGACGGGUAGCCGGCCUGAGAGGGCGACCGGCCACAUUGGGACUGAGAUACGGCCCAGACUCCUAAGGGAGGCAGCAGUGGGGAACAUUGCACAAUGGGCGGAAGCCUGAUGCAGCAACGCCGCGUGCGGGAUGACGGCCUUCGGGUUGUAAACCGCUUUCAGCAGGGGCGAAGCUUGUGGUGACGGUACCUGCAGAAGAAGCACCGGCUAACUACGUG
RNAcentral lists this ribosomal RNA (465 nucleotides) under uncultured bacterium. RNAcentral's name for it is "partial 16S ribosomal RNA". It matches the Rfam family "Bacterial small subunit ribosomal RNA", at positions 28 to 507 of the family's 1533-position model. The record is from RNAcentral.